UACGGGGGGGAGCAAGCGUUGUUCGGAUUUACUGGGCGUAAAGGGCGCGUAGGCGGCCACCGCAAGUCGAUUGUGAAAUCUCCGGGCUUAACCCGGAAAGGUCAACCGAUACUGCGGGGCUAGAGUGCAGAAGGGGCAACUGGAAUUCUCGGUGUAGCGGUGAAAUGCGUAGAUAUCAGGAGGAACACCGGUGGCGAAGGCGGGUCUCUGGGCAGUAACUGACGUGGAGGAGCGAAAGUGUGGGGAGCGAACAGG
This 255-nucleotide ribosomal RNA is filed under the name uncultured bacterium. Its description in RNAcentral is "partial 16S ribosomal RNA". It matches the Rfam family "Bacterial small subunit ribosomal RNA", at positions 524 to 776 of the family's 1533-position model. The record is from RNAcentral.